This is a long non-coding RNA of Oncorhynchus keta (chum salmon), 2336 nucleotides long. RefSeq lists it as uncharacterized. Lineage: Eukaryota; Metazoa; Chordata; Actinopteri; Salmoniformes; Salmonidae. The record is from RefSeq and is a predicted model, not a curated record. The transcript is spliced from 4 exons.
CUCUGUAUAAAGGCAUUUAGAAAGAUGAGAGAGAUGGUAUCAAACCACCUUGACCAGUUUACUGUCAUGUGAUCUUGGUGUUUUGUGGGGGUUUGGGACAGGGCUGAUUGGGGUGAUGUGUGGAAUCUAGCUACCUGAUGGUGUGAUGGUAUAACUUAAGCCAGGUUAGGUUUAGGUUCAGAGGUCGGGGUUUAGGUUCAGCGGUCAGGUUCAGAGGUCAAAUCAGAUCAAAGUUCAUUUGUCACAUGCGCCGAAUACAACAGGUGUAGGUAGAUCUUACAGUGAAAUGCUGAAUACAACAGGUGUAGUAGACCUUACAGUGAAAUGCUGAAUACAACAGGUGUAGUAGACCUUACAGUGAAAUGCUGAAUACAACAGGUGUAGUAGACCUUACAGUGAAAUGCUGAAUACAACAGGUGUAUUAGACCUUACAGUGAAAUGCUGAAUACAACAGGUGUAGUAGACCUUACAGUGAAAUGCUGAAUACAACAGGUGUAGUAGACCUUACAGUGAAAUGCUGAAUACAACAGGUGUAGUAGACCUUACAGUGAAAUGCUGAAUACAACAGGUGUAGUAGACCUUACAGUGAAAUGCUGAAUACAACAGGUGUAGUAGACCUUACAGUGAAAUGCUGAAUACAACAGGUGUAGUAGACCUUACAGUGAAAUGCUGAAUACAACAGGUGUAGUAGACCUCACAGUGAAAUGCUGACUACAACAGGUGUAGUAGACCUUACAGUGAAAUGCUGAAUACAACAGGUGUAGUAGACCUUACAGUGAAAUGCUGAAUACAACAGGUGUAGUAGACCAUACAGUGAAAUGCUGAAUACAACAGGUGUAGUAGACCUUACAGUGAAAUGCUGAAUACAACAGGUGUAGUAGACCUCACAGUGAAAUGCUGAAUACAACAGGUGUAGUAGACCUCACAGUGAAAUGCCGAAUACAACAGGUGUAGUAGACCUUACAGUGAAAUGCUGAAUACAACAGGUGUAGUAGACCUUACAGUGAAAUGCUGAAUACAACAGGUGUAGUAGACCUUACAGUGAAAUGCUGAAUACAACAGGUGUAGUAGACCUUACAGUGAAAUGCUGAAUACAACAGGUGUAGUAGACCUCACAGUGAAAUGCUGAAUACAACAGGUGUAGUAGACCUUACAGUGAAAUGCUGAAUACAACAGGUGUAUUAGACCUUACAGUGAAAUGCUGAAUACAACAGGUGUAGUAGACCUUACAGUGAAAUGCUGAAUACAACAGGUGUAGUAGACCUUACAGUGAAAUGCUGAAUACAACAGGUGUAGUAGACCUCACAGUGAAAUGCUGAAUACAACAGGUGUAGUAGACCUCACAGUGAAAUGCUGAAUACAACAGGUGUAGUAGACCUCACAGUGAAAUGCUGAAUACAACAGGUGUAGUAGACCUUACAGUGAAAUGCUGAAUACAACAGGUGUAGUAGACCUCACAGUGAAAUGAUGAAUACAACAGGUGUAGUAGACCUUACAGUGAAAUGCUGAAUACAACAGGUGUAGUAGACCUCACAGUGAAAUGCUGAAUACAACAGGUGUAGUAGACCUUACAGUGAAAUGCUGAAUACAACAGGUGUAGUAGACCUUACAGUGAAAUGCUGAAUACAACAGGUGUAUUAGACCUUACAGUGAAAUGCUGAAUACAACAGGUGUAGUAGACCUUACAGUGAAAUGCUGAAUACAACAGGUGUAGUAGACCUUACAGUGAAAUGCUGAAUACAACAGGUGUAGUAGACCUUACAGUGAAAUGCUGAAUACAACAGGUGUAGUAGACCUCACAGUGAAAUGCUGAAUACAACAGGUGUAGUAGACCUCACAGUGAAAUGCUGAAUACAACAGGUGUAGUAGACCUCACAGUGAAAUGCUGAAUACAACAGGUGUAGUAGACCUUACAGUGAAAUGCUGAAUACAACAGGUGUAGUAGACCUCACAGUGAAAUGCUGAAUACAACAGGUGUAGUAGACCUCACAGUGAAAUGAUGAAUACAACAGGUGUAGUAGACCUCACAGUGAAAUGCUGAAUACAACAGGUGUAGUAGACCUUACAGUGAAAUGCUGAAUAUAACAGGUGUAGUAGACCUUACAGUGAAAUGCUGAAUACAACAGGUGUAGUAGACCUUACAGUGAAAUGCUGAAUACAACAGGUGUAGUAGACCUUACAGUGAAAUGCUGAAUACAACAGGUGUAGUAGACCUCACAGUGAAAUGCUGAAUUUUGAAUCACGCCCAAUUUUUCAGUUUUUGAUUUAUUAAAAAAGUUUGAAAUAUCCAAUAAAUGUCGUUCCACUUCAUGAUUGUGUCCCACUUGUUGUUGAUU